This 400-nucleotide ribosomal RNA is filed under the name uncultured bacterium. RNAcentral describes it as "bacterial SSU rRNA". It matches the Rfam family "Bacterial small subunit ribosomal RNA", at positions 355 to 757 of the family's 1533-position model. The record is from RNAcentral.
UGAGGAAUUUUGCGCAAUGGGCGAAAGCCUGACGCAGCGACGCCGCGUGGGGGAUGAAGGCCUUCGGGUUGUAAACCCCUUUCGUGAGGAAAAAAGUCCCGAGCAAUCGGGAUGAUGGUACCUCAGGAAGAAGCCACGGCUAACUCUGUGCCAGCAGCCGCGGUAAGACAGAGGUGGCAAGCGUUGUUCGGAAUUACUGGGCUUAAAGGGCGCGUAGGCGUUUCAAUAAGUCAGAUGUGGAAUCCUUAGGCUUAACCUAAGAAUUGCAUUUGAAACUGUUGGGAUUGAGUAAGGCAAGGGAGGGCAGAAUUCCUGGUGUAGCGGUGAAAUGCGUAGAUAUCAGGAGGAAGGCCUGUGGCGAAGGUGGCCCUCUAGGCCUUAACUGACGCUGAGGCGCGAA